This 70-nucleotide transfer RNA is filed under the name Pleodorina starrii. Its description in RNAcentral is "tRNA-Cys". It matches the Rfam family "tRNA". Rfam says of the family: Transfer RNA (tRNA) molecules are approximately 80 nucleotides in length. Their secondary structure includes four short double-helical elements and three loops (D, anti-codon, and T loops). Further hydrogen bonds mediate the characteristic L-shaped molecular structure. tRNAs have two regions of fundamental functional importance: the anti-codon, which is responsible for specific mRNA codon recognition, and the 3' end, to which the tRNAs corresponding amino acid is attached (by aminoacyl-tRNA synthetases). tRNAs cope with the degeneracy of the genetic code in two manners: having more than one tRNA (with a specific anti-codon) for a particular amino acid; and 'wobble' base-pairing, i.e. permitting non-standard base-pairing at the 3rd anti-codon position. The record is from RNAcentral. Lineage: Eukaryota; Viridiplantae; Chlorophyta; Chlorophyceae; Chlamydomonadales; Volvocaceae.
GGGUCUCUAGCUCAGGUAGAGCAGCUGACUGCAGAUCAUCAGGUCUCCGGUUCAAACCUGGAGGGGCCCU